Molecule: ribosomal RNA, 613 nt
Filed under: Lophophyton gallinae
Lineage: Eukaryota; Fungi; Ascomycota; Eurotiomycetes; Onygenales; Arthrodermataceae
Description: eukaryotic LSU rRNA
Rfam family: 5.8S ribosomal RNA (bases 201-354)
Source: RNAcentral
UCCGUAGGUGAACCUGCGGAAGGAUCAUUAACGCGCAGGCCGACGUUGGCCCUCUCCCCGAGAAGGGGGGGGGACUCCGGCCACACGCCCAUUCUUGUCUACCGACCCAGUUGCCUCGGCGGGUUCGCGCCCGCCGGAGGACCGUCAAACAAAAAUUCUUCACAGUUACCGUCUGAGCGUAUAAAGCGUAAAUCAGUUAAAACUUUCAACAACGGAUCUCUUGGUUCCGGCAUCGAUGAAGAACGCAGCGAAAUGCGAUAAGUAAUGUGAAUUGCAGAAUUCCGUGAAUCAUCGAAUCUUUGAACGCACAUUGCGCCCCCUGGCAUUCCGGGGGGCAUGCCUGUUCGAGCGUCAUUGCAACCCCUCAAGCCCGGCUUGUGUGAUGGACGACCGUCCCCCUCCCCUUCAUCUCCGAAGAGGGGGACGCGCCCGAAAAGCAGUGGCCAGGCCGCGAUUCCGGCUCCUGGGCGAAUGGGACAAACCACCGCCUCUUGGGGGACCGGCCGGCAGCUGGCCUCGUUUCAAUAAUUGUCGUUAGAGAAUUAUUCUUCAAGGUUGACCUCGGAUCAGGUAGGGAUACCCGCUGAACUUAAGCAUAUCAAUAAGCGGAGGA